GCCCGGAUGGUGAAAUUGGUAGACACGCAGCGUUCAGGUCGCUGUGGGAGUGAUCCCAUGGGGGUCCAAAUCCCCCUUCGGGCA
RNAcentral lists this transfer RNA (84 nucleotides) under Patescibacteria group bacterium. RNAcentral's name for it is "tRNA-Leu". It matches the Rfam family "tRNA". From Rfam's summary of the family: Transfer RNA (tRNA) molecules are approximately 80 nucleotides in length. Their secondary structure includes four short double-helical elements and three loops (D, anti-codon, and T loops). Further hydrogen bonds mediate the characteristic L-shaped molecular structure. tRNAs have two regions of fundamental functional importance: the anti-codon, which is responsible for specific mRNA codon recognition, and the 3' end, to which the tRNAs corresponding amino acid is attached (by aminoacyl-tRNA synthetases). tRNAs cope with the degeneracy of the genetic code in two manners: having more than one tRNA (with a specific anti-codon) for a particular amino acid; and 'wobble' base-pairing, i.e. permitting non-standard base-pairing at the 3rd anti-codon position. RNAcentral also lists the same sequence under 1 other name. The record is from RNAcentral.